CUUAAAUUGAAGAGUUUGAUCAUGGCUCAGAUUGAACGCUGGCGGCAGGCCUAACACAUGCA
This 62-nucleotide ribosomal RNA is filed under the name Vibrio parahaemolyticus. RNAcentral describes it as "partial 16S ribosomal RNA". The record is from RNAcentral. Lineage: Bacteria; Pseudomonadati; Pseudomonadota; Gammaproteobacteria; Vibrionales; Vibrionaceae.